AAAUUGAAGAGUUUGAUCAUGGCUCAGAUUGAACGCUGGCGGCAGGCCUAACACAUGCANNNNNNNNNNGCAGCUUGCUGCUUUGCUGACGAGUGGCGGACGGGUGAGUAAUGUCUGGGAAACUGCCUGAUGGAGGGGGAUAACUACUGGAAACGGUAGCUAAUACCGCAUAACGUCGCAAGACCAAAGAGGGGGACCUUCGGGCCUCUUGCCAUCGGAUGUGCCCAGAUGGGAUUAGCUAGUAGGUGGGGUAAAGGCUCACCUAGGCGACGAUCCCUAGCUGGUCUGAGAGGAUGACCAGCCACACUGGAACUGAGACACGGUCCAGACUCCUACGGGAGGCAGCAGUGGGGAAUAUUGCACAAUGGGCGCAAGCCUGAUGCAGCCAUGCCGCGUGUAUG
RNAcentral lists this ribosomal RNA (401 nucleotides) under Escherichia coli. RNAcentral's name for it is "partial 16S ribosomal RNA". It matches the Rfam family "Bacterial small subunit ribosomal RNA", at positions 1 to 407 of the family's 1533-position model. The record is from RNAcentral. Lineage: Bacteria; Pseudomonadati; Pseudomonadota; Gammaproteobacteria; Enterobacterales; Enterobacteriaceae.